UAAUAAUUGAUGAGAUUGAUUCUGUCUUGUAUUUGUAAUUAGUUUUUAGUUGAUAUUAAAUAUAAAUUUUUGUGCGAUUGAAAGUUUAUCUAAAUGAUAAUUUAUUUUUAUUUGUAGUUUUUAGUGUUGAGUAUUAUAUAAUUAUAGACUCAGUUAAUUUAAUUAGGGCUGUUUAAGGUUGUGCCAGCAUACGCGGUUAUACAUCCGGCUCAAGUUAAUUUUUUUGGUAUUUAUUUAUUUUUAUUAUUGGGGAUUAAAUUUAUUUUAUAAGGUGAAAUUUUUAAGAUUAAUUAUAUUCUCUUGGUUUAAUAUUAUAAGAAAUUUAGGAUAUGAGACUAGGAUUAGAUACCCUAUUAUUCUAAAUGUAAA
Molecule: ribosomal RNA, 369 nt
Filed under: Scolopocerus secundarius
Lineage: Eukaryota; Metazoa; Arthropoda; Insecta; Hemiptera; Coreidae
Description: partial small subunit ribosomal RNA
Source: RNAcentral